GACGAACGCUGGCGGCGUGCUUAACACAUGCAAGUCGAACGGAAAGGCCCUGCUUUUGUGGGGUGCUCGAGUGGCGAACGGGUGAGUAACACGUGUGUAUCCUGCCCUUGACUUUGGGAUAACUUCAGGAAACUGGGGCUAAUACCGGAUAGGAGCUCCUGCUCCAUGGUGGGGGUUGGAAAGUUUCGGCGGUUGGGGAUGGACUCGCGGCUUAUCAGCUUGUUGGUGGGGUAGUGGCUUACCAAGGCUUUGACGGGUAGCCGGCCUGAGAGGGUGACCGGCCACAUUGGGACUGAGAUACGGCCCAGACUCCUACGGGAGGCAGCAGUGGGGAAUAUUGCACAAUGGGCGGAAGCCUGAUGCAGCAACGCCGCGUGCGGGAUGACGGCCUUCGGGUUGUAAACCGCUUUCGCCUGUGACGAAGCGUGAGUGACGGUAAUGGGUAAAGAAGCACCGGCUAACUACGUG
Molecule: ribosomal RNA, 468 nt
Filed under: uncultured bacterium
Lineage: Bacteria
Description: partial 16S ribosomal RNA
Rfam family: Bacterial small subunit ribosomal RNA
Source: RNAcentral